AUCUCGGUAGCUCAAUGGUAGAGCGCGGCAAUGAAUACUUGACGAAAUGUGGGUUCGAAUCCUACCCGAGAAUCCA
This 76-nucleotide transfer RNA is filed under the name Damnacanthus indicus var. microphyllus. Its description in RNAcentral is "tRNA-Phe". It matches the Rfam family "tRNA". Rfam says of the family: Transfer RNA (tRNA) molecules are approximately 80 nucleotides in length. Their secondary structure includes four short double-helical elements and three loops (D, anti-codon, and T loops). RNAcentral also lists the same sequence under 1 other name. Lineage: Eukaryota; Viridiplantae; Streptophyta; Magnoliopsida; Gentianales; Rubiaceae. The record is from RNAcentral.